AAGGAGUCUAACAUAUAUGCGAGUAUUUGGGUGUUUUAAACCCCAUAUGCGUAAUGAAAGUGAUAAGGUGGGAUAAACGUAAGUUUUGCACCAUCGACCGGUCUGGAAUCAUCUUUAUGUGAAAGAUCUGAGUAAGAGCAUAUCUGUUGGGACCCGAAAGAUGGUGAACUAUGCCUGAAUAGGGUGAAGCCAGAGGAAACUCUGGUGGAGGCUCGUAGCGGUUCUGACGUGCAAAUCGAUCGUCAAAUUUGGGUAUAGGGGCGAAAGACUAAUCGAACCAUCUAGUAGCUGGUUCCCUC
This 299-nucleotide unclassified non-coding RNA is filed under the name uncultured fungus. RNAcentral's name for it is "partial contains 5.8S rRNA, ITS2 and 28S rRNA". It matches the Rfam family "Eukaryotic large subunit ribosomal RNA", at positions 668 to 961 of the family's 3401-position model. Lineage: Eukaryota; Fungi. The record is from RNAcentral.